This 251-nucleotide ribosomal RNA is filed under the name uncultured bacterium. Its description in RNAcentral is "partial 16S ribosomal RNA". It matches the Rfam family "Bacterial small subunit ribosomal RNA", at positions 524 to 776 of the family's 1533-position model. The record is from RNAcentral.
GACAGAGGGUGCGAACGUUGUUCGGAAUUACUGGGCGUAAAGCGCAUGUAGGCGGCAGCGCAAGUCGGGCGUGAAAUCCCACGGCUCAACCGUGGAAGUGCACUCGAAACUGCGCAGCUAGAGUCCUGGAGAGGAAGGUGGAAUGCUUGGUGUAGAGGUGAAAUUCGUAGAUAUCAAGCGGAACACCGGUGGCGAAGGCGGCCUUCUGGACAGUGACUGACGCUGAGAUGCGAAAGCGUGGGAGCAACAGG